UUGCAUAACAAUUAACUGGUUGUUUGUUAUUUCAUAGGCCGAAUCAUGUCUGACAUGGAUAUCGAGAAGAUUAGUUUACCACACGGCCUAUGCGCUCAUGUGGGUCGGGUUUAUUGUAGUGUUGAGGGAUAUUGCGACUGUUGUUUGGUAGAUGAUUUGUGCUAUCCAACUAUGGAUGAGUGCGAGAGAAAGUGUAAAAAAUCCUUGUCUUCAGAAGACAUACUACGGGCGAUGACAUCCCCUCCUUAUUUACCUGCUCCUUAAUUUUCCAGCCUAGUCAAAUUGGCUUUCUUGCAUAUUUACUUGUCCCAAGAAAUAAAUAUAAUGCCUGAUAUGUGUGUGGAAAUAAAUAUAAUGCCUGAUAUGUGUGUGGAAAUACCGUUGUGCAAUAAGAUUGAGUAAUACUCUAGCAAUUGUUGUUUAGUAUUUGGUUUGGCACAUUGCAAUAAAUAUGAGGCAUUCCCUUACCUUGUUCUUCAUGGAGCUACUAGUGCGUCGGGAUGAAAUGAUCUUCGCCAUUAAUAGCGGCUUCCGAGAUGUGGUAACUGAAAUGGGGCUGCCAGGAGGCGAUGAAGCUCCGGUAGUCGUGGAAUGCACAAUCUAUGGUUUUCGCCAGGUACCGUCAGAGCAGUCAGCCUUGCUGAUUUGCACACCAUCCCUCUUAGACCUAUGGCAGAAAAAUAAUUGUUAGCAUAAACCUGAGUGAACAACUAAGAACAAACAUUAAUUAUGACAAGUCCUUUUUUUUAAAGAUGGCUCCUCUUUCCUCCUUCACAAGAAGCUCUUCUCCUCCCGUCGGUGCCACCGCCGGUCCGCCCCAUCUCCGAUUGCCACUGGGCCAUGGAGGCGCGGAGGAUCUCGGCCCCUCGCCGACGGGAGCGACCCCAUUCUUAUUCUUGUUAGAUUCAGCGUCUUGGUUGGGGCUUUGUGGCCGUGGCAAUGUUCCUUGGUAAGAAUAAUGUCUCCCGCGUUCUAUCACCAGCCAGAUGGUGCGUCUAGCAUCGUUCAGGGGCGAGCCCACGUUAGCCCAGCAGGUAGCACAGGACACCGGGUAAAAAUCUCUCUUACCUUAUAAAUAUAGAGCCCAUAUACAAUGGGACACCCCUAAAUUUCCUACAAGGACACCCGUACAACCAGGCUCCAUCCAACAUAGCGCAAGUGCAGCCCAGCGCCCCAGCCUAGGAUGACAGCCACGGAGGCCCAGUCCAGCCUUUCCAGGGAUGCGAGCAGUACAUCGAUCGAUCGAUCCUGCCUUCGGCCGGCCCUUCGCCUCGCCUGUUCGUCUGCUCGACUGCGCUUCGUGCCCUUCCUGUUUCGCCUCUGUACUCGCCGCCUAUCGGCAGAUCGUGGCAAGUCGCCGAAUCAGUGAAGAAAAGAAGGCAUAGGUACCCUGCAUCAGACCCCCAAUUCGAUGUGCUUCUGCCUCAGCCUCUAUUUAUAAAUCUUGAUCUAAUUAUUGCUUUGUUUUCCUAACCCUAGGGAAUUAGGGGUACUGGAUAAUACUAGAGAUUUUGACUAUAUGUCUGUAUUGGGUAAUUGGACUAUUUGAGAUAAUUGUGCAACCAGUGGAGACGGCCGGAAGCACCGGCACCAUGUCAAGUAUGUUUUAUAUGACAAGUAUUAAUAUUAUGUAUGUACACAUGAUUCAUAGUUCUUUUCUUUCAUGCAAAUUUUAAUUAUCUGAAUAAAUUACAAAUUUCAGGAGAGGCUCAGUUCAUGGAAAGGUUUCUAAAAAAGAGGAGAACCUCGGUGCAAGAUGAAAAUGUUGGUCCGUCACACGAAAAUAAUCAGAAUGAUGGCUCGGUCCCGGCACCAUCGGAUAGACAAGUUGAUGCCUCACCACAUGAACAGAUUGAUGUUCCGACCCCGCCAUCAUCACAUGGACAAAAUGACGCCUCCACACAUGAACCUAGUUCUACUAAUACUACAAGAAAUUCCUUUGAAGUUGAAGAGCUCAAUUGGGAAGAAGAAAUUCAAUUUGAUCCAGGUAGAAGGAGAAGCAUAGAAAUUCAAAAAAUGGUGGAGACAAAAAAACAUAUUGUCUAUCCCUUGGUUUAUCGACUUUUGAAGCUAGCACUAGUAUUGCCUGUUGCCACUGCUACAGUUGAGAGAUCUUUUUCAGCUAUGAGAAUUGUGAAGACAUAUUUGCGCAAUCGUCUUGGUGAUGACUCCUUGAAGUACAACCUUAUUUGUUAUGUGGAGAAAAGCGAAAUGAGGAAGGUUACUAAUGAUGCGGUAAUUGAUCGCUUUGAAGCCAUGAAAGAACGUAGGAAACCAUUUUAGGAAGGUAAUGGUUUUAACUUACUUAUUAUUACACAACUGUAAUUAAUAUGUUACUUAGUGGUUUUGUUUUUUUAUUUGUAGGCAAUCAAGAUCUGAUGUUGCAUUUUCUUGUCGUCGGUUAUACUUUAUUCAUAAUUUGGACACUUUGAUUUUUCUUUGAUGAUCAAUUUCCUACGAUCAACUAAUAUUUCAAGUGAAACUCCUUAUUUUGGAUCAUUGGUAAGCAUAUUCAUGGUUAUAUCGUAUUCUAGGUAUAUUGUAUUGUUAAACGUGUUAUUUUUAGCUAUAUUAGUACUUGGUAUCCAAAUAUAUAUGAUAGACGUGGGACCCCGGGUAAUUUUUGUCCUGCGUCCGCCCCUGGCAUCGUUGGAGGGCGUGUGGAGGUUUGUCUCUGUUGGAUCUCGCGGGAUUCGGUCGGUGCUGGUCUUCGGUGGAUCUGUUUGAAUCCGGUCUUCGUUCGUCUUCGUUUGGGUGUUUACAUGAUUUGAUAUUUCUGAUCUACGAUUUUCUUCAUCGAUGAUGGUUGCUACCCCAGUGCGCUGGUCCUAUAGGACCUUAGCACGACGACUUCCCAACUGAUUACUACGACAAGGUUUGUUCGGUUCCAACGAGGGACAUGCUAUGAUGGCGGCGCGCCUUCGGCUCGCUUCAGUACUUGUAGUCGUCGCUAGGUGGUCCACUGACAUGGUUGUAAUUUUUAUUAUAACUAUUGUUCUUUGCACUGCCAUAAUUGAAAAUUAAUAGAUUGAAAGUUUCUCGCAAAAAAGUCCUUUCUAAAUAUAACGAAUAGUGUUAACUUAAAAAAAUGAAUCACAUUCAUGGUUGAAAACUGAAUGACUUAAGAAACUGAACUAAUGCUGAGAAAAUGAUAUAAGAAAACAAUUAAAACUGGAUCUAAUCUAAAUAUGAAAACUAAAACUUAGUCUUGAUGUGUUGAAGUAAUGCUGAGAUCAGGAACAUCAAACACUUCCUCUAUAAAUACUGAUUGCCACUUGUUUAGUUUGGAGUUUGGAUUGCACCAACUCUACCUAGUUUUACUACGAGUAGUUUGUUUGUCGAAUCACAGAUGUCAUCCACGGGCAAGGCAAGUCUAACAAAAGGCACCGUGGCAAUACAAUUAAAAAUCACAUCACAUUGCCAUAAUCUUCAAAAGUUCUAGGAAGUACAAGGACCUUUUCAUUUCAUCAUAAUUGGAAAAAUAAGCAUUUACAGUUGCUACUUGCAACUAAGCAAGAACCAAACAAGCAUAUCAAUCUAAGCCACAUCACAUCAAUAACUGCAGUUUAAUUAGAUGCUCUAAACGUAUCAUCAUCCUUGACACUAACCCUCAUUCUGAUCAACAGUGCAUCAUAAUCACAUCAGCAAGCAUUGCCGUUUCAGAUGCCUUAGCCUUACAAUAACUAACAGACGGAGGCUCUAUACAGUUCUGGUUAACCAUACACCACAUAGAAUUACAAAUGUAAACACUCAAUUUGCCUGGGACACAUGCGUGUGCCUGCGACCUGGCGGUUGCUUGCUAAUGGUGAGCCCGGGUGCGAUAGCACCGCCAACCAUCUCUAUCAAUCCAUGUUGUUCAUUCACAGGCGAGAUGCCCCUUCCUCCAUCGACUCCGUCCCCUCUGCUUUACAGUCCCUACCUCAUUUAUGCAAGGACAAAAAGUGAAACAUAGGCUGCGGACGAACUGAAUCUAUAUCUAUAUUUAUAUCUAUAUCUAUACCCCUACUAAUAAAGCAAGGUGCGUUUCUUCCAUUUUUUCAUCCGUUCACCACCAAUUUUUUCAUUCUAUCCAAGGUGAUACUAAUUUUUUGUCUGUCCAACUGCUUUUUUUGUCCAACUUCUAGAAAAGAAACAGUUUUAUCCAAAAUUUUGAACGUGGCCGCACACAGCGAAGCCAGCCCUUUAUUUCCUGCCCAUUCAGCUGAGAACCCUCAUUUACCACACAGGGCGGCAAAUAGACGAAGUUUCACAUAUGGCGCCCAGUAUUGGGAUGGCCCGUUUUCAUUUUUUUUCUCUGUUAUGUUUCUUUACCCUUGUUCUUUUCUCUUUACUUUUUCUUUUUUCUCUUCCAGGUUUAUUUCUAUUUUUUUAUUUUUUCAUAAAUUAAAUUUUCAUUUUUUCAGAAUUUUAGUUUUUGAUUAAAUUUUCGUAAAAUCUCUAGAAUUUAUUUUUUUGUUCCCAUUUUGAAUUUUUUCCAAACUUUAAUUUUUUUCCCAUUCCAAAAUUUAUUCAAAACUACAGAAAAUGUACGCAUUUUAAUUAUUUUGAUGUUUUCCAAAAUUAUUUGAUAUUUUAAAAAUAAAUUGCAUUUUAGAAAAUGAUACAAAUUCAAAAAAUAUUCAUUUUUAUUGAAGUGUUCACAAAUUCAAAGUAAUGCUUGUGUUAGAAAACAUAUUUUUGAAAAUUGUUUCAAUGUUCAAAACAUGUUUUCAUUUUCAAAAAUUGUUCACAUAUUCAAAAAAUGUUUGUUUUCUUACAAAAGGUUAAUGUUUUCUAUUUUUUUGUUAAUUUCAAGAAAUUGUUCACGUUUCGAAGAAUAUUCAAAAUAUCAUAAUUAUUAAUUUAUUUUUUGAUAAGUUCAAAAAAGAUGAGAGAAAUAAAAAAUGUUUUGAAUGGUACGCUACAGUAUAUUCUUAAACAUUCGCGCUAGCCAUUUGUUAACAGGAGUUGUUUGUUCAAGUGGCUGGCAGCACGUGGUCGAGUUUUUUAGGUUGUGAGUUUGAUCCUUCAACUCAGUGGUUGUUUUCGAUUUUUGUUCGCACCUUACAAACACAUGUCAUUUUGGUGCCUGCUACUGGCCUAGGCAGACUCGAACUGUUGUGCAUCCGACGUGCUAUUUGACAAUAAAAGAGAAUAUGUUGGUUGAUUAUAAGUAAAAGAAAUUGUGGGCACAUGUCACUAAAAGAGGAUAUGUUGAUUUGGCUGACUAAAAAUAUUUGGACAAGUGAGCGCCGAAAUAAUUACAGAGAAUAGACCCUGGUAAAGUAGAGACUACAUGGUUAUGUAUUGAUUAUACCAAUGAAACAGGAUUCACUGCAAUUCAUACUAUAUCCGUUACGCCAUCAUAGGAGAGGGUGGUUGAAGCAACUAUGCCUUGAAGGUCGCCGUACUACCACAAAAUGAGGCAACCACAACCUAGACACGGUGGCGGACCCAAACAAAAAAAGGCACAAGUUGGGUGGUGGCCACCACUCCGACCAACCUCAUCACUAUUAAGAUCUCGUGGGCCAAACAUGACCCGUGAGAACAUCGUAGCUCCUCGCUCUGUAGCCCCAUCACUGCGGAGACUGUUUUAGUGGACACAUCAAUUAUCUCUCUGCUGCUUCUCGUAAAAAAAAUCUCUCUCCUUGCAAUGCACGGGCAUAUGUGCUAGUAGAAAAAAAUUGUGCAUGUGACUCGGGGAGCAAAAUCCCGAUGGGGACCCACAAACCUUAAGAGCAUCUUUAAUUGAUGAUGGAGACACAAAAAUAAUUAACUUAUACAUCUUCAAGGUCCCAAAAUGUUGCUCCAAUAGAUGAUCUAGAUGCAAAAAAUUACAUCACCUCCUUCAAUGAUGUAAAAUUCAACACUAGGAGAUGCAAAUUUGCAUCUUAAUCUCCCAAGUGAUGUAAAAGUCCAGUCGCGCGCCAACCACCCAACCUCGUUCAUUUCAUUUCCGCUCGAUGCCCGCCAACCUCAGCCAUCGGCGAUUUCUGCCGGGAAAUGCCGCUGCUGCCCAUCCGUCCAUCCUCGUGCCCGCCGCCAGCCGCGCUGCCCUAGCCAUCGAUGACCCACCAUUUGGGUCCGCCCCGCCGACGACCGCCCACCUCCGUCGCUGGCGAUUUGUGCCUGGAAAUUCCGCCGCCGCCCGUCCGUUCACCCCCACCCCGCUGCGGCCAGGCGGGCUAUCCCCGCUGCCGAUGACCUUCCGAUUUGCGUCCGCUAGGCCAAUGACCGCACGGCCGAUUCAGAGCUUCGUUGGAGCUCCGACGGCCGUAAUGGUUGUACUAGCUCACGGCCGCCUUCCUUGGUACUGCUGCAUACCGCCGAAGCUAGUAGGGAAGCCACGUGACCACCACAACCAAUCGAGCUAGGGGUCUCUCAAUCGUUGCCGCCACCACUACGUCGCCACGAGCGGAGUCCUCCGGUAGCCGCAUGGCUGUCCAGAGGCUAUUGAAGCAGCCGCCACCCACCCCAAACAGGCUUUGUGCUGCCCUGCAAUGCUCCGACCCGCCGUUGGCCGGUUUCUUCCACCUCGCACGCAAUGUGUUCAACCAAAUUAUUUGUUGGAGUAGGAGCUUUACAUCACCAAACAUACAUCAUCUGUUGGAGUAGGAGGUUUACAUCACAAAAUAUACAUCAUUUGCUGGGGUUGGCUCUUUUUUGGUGAUGUAAAAGUCACUUUUUGGUGAAGUCUAUUAUACAACAUCCAUUUUUACAUCUCCAAAUUUACAUAUCUAUUGGAGAUGCUCUAAAAUGAAAGAAAAACCUGACUCACACAGGAAAAAUGAAAAACAGAUGGCUGAAAAUUAGGAGAAAUGUUACUUAUGGGGUGUUUGGUUUCAGGGACUUUUUUGUGUUGGAACUAGAAAAAGUCCCUAUAAAACCAAACAGGGUGGGACUUUUUGCUAAAAGUCCUUAGAAGCACCUGCUUGAGAGUCUUUUUCAAAAAAUCCUAGGAACUAGAAAAAGUCCUAGGACUAGAGAACCAAACACCACCUUAAAUCUCUCCUUCCAACUAUAGAACUAAUUAAUGCUAUUGCCAAACAAUAACUUCAAACGAGGCAAUCAAUAUUGGAGAAGUACAGUUCAGAAAUGUAAACAUUGUACGGGAUAACUUUGACAAAUAAUAAGUUCCUAAUUUUGGGAACUUGUCUAAAAGAGGAGAAAAUUUAAUUUUACUUCAUUUAUGUCUAUAUAAUGAGGUUCAUACUACAAAAAGACAAUAAAUAAUUUCAAUUUUAUCGCUCGAUGUCUACUGCAUGGGAUCGGGAUGAGCUAUAGCAUCGGAUCUCUCUUCUCUUAACCUCUCUCUCUCUAUAUAUACGGGAUCGGGAUGAGCUAGCAAAUAUUUCACAUCAACAACCAAAGUGGUUUUUUUUCGCUGGUAUUUUUUUUAACAACCUAAGUGAUUGACAACCUAGUGUUUUAUCAGGUGGGGUAUGGACAAGUACACAAUUCACAUCCUUGCACUAGCCCUCCUGUCUCUACAGCUCGUAUGCUCUGCUACUGUUGUACAAUGUAAGCACACCAAUCAAUUUUUAUUUCUUCACUUCUCUUGGAAGUCUAUAUGUAGUACAGCUAGUAAGGAGUUUUUUUUUAAUCUCUUGUGUGUUUAUUUAUUCUACUCUAAAGUAUACAAUUGCAUAACAAUUGAAUAUUUGUUUGUUAUUCCAUAGGCCGAAUCAUGGUUGACAUGGAUAUCGAGAAGAUCAGUUUACCAAACGGGCUAUGCGCCCAUGAGAGUUGAAUUCAUUGCGGCGCUCAUGGACUAUGCGACUGUUGUUUGGUAGAUUCGAUCUGCUACUCGACUAUGGAUGAGUGCACGAGGGAGUGUAAAAAAUCCUCAUCUUCAGAAGACAUACUACGGGCCAGGACAUCCCCUCCUCCUUUACCUGCUCCUUAAUUUUCCAGCCUAGUCAAAUUGCUUACAUGCAUAUUUUUACUUGUUCCGGGAAAUGCAAAUAAUGCCUAGUAUAUGUGUGGAAAUACAGUUGUGCAAUAAGAUCGAGUACUCUAGCAAUUGUUGUUGAGUAUUUGGUUUGGCAAAUUGCAUCUAAACUUUUGCCAAUUAUUGCGGGCUAAGUUCUAGUAAUAAUGCAACCUAGGUAGAAUGUGAGGCCUAAACCGGAAGUGCUUUUCCUCGAUACACAUGCACCGAGCUAUUGCUGUCUGGAGAAAAGCGGCCAUGAGUCUCAUGGAAACAAGAUCUUAAUUGGUUCUGAUCAGCACUAAAACACAUCUCAUGUUUUACGAAGAUACCUAAGCAAAAUUUACACAUUGAUUUAAGAAGUUGAUUAAUAUAUGCAUAAUUUGUUAAUACACUCCGGUAAUUAUAAAAUGGUUGCAUGCAUCGUCCAGAUGGAGAGGCCGGGUAUACAUCCUUCUUUUCAAAAAAAUAAAAAUAAAAA
Molecule: long non-coding RNA, 8390 nt
Filed under: Triticum aestivum (bread wheat)
Lineage: Eukaryota; Viridiplantae; Streptophyta; Magnoliopsida; Poales; Poaceae
Description: long non-coding RNA (TAES_LNC027727)
Source: RNAcentral